GGAUUGAGAAUAUUUUUCAACAUUCCAGACACAACAGGAGAUUUGGUCAAGGCGUACCAGCAUAUUGGAAUUUGUGGUUGUAAUGGCAGGACGCAUCACAGCAUUUCUUCUCAUGUGUGCCGUGUUCGCCUACGGUAAGUCCAAACUGAGCGACAUUUCCAAUCAGAAGACCGUGGCCGGAUAUUAUGACUUUACCUCCACGCUUAAGGGACGUUUCUCUGUUCGGUUCGCAUACUGCUAUAUUAUGUCAUAAGAUAUAGAAGCAUUAUUUUUGGAUAACAUGCACACCGUAGAAGCAAAAUUAAUUUUUGACAACAUUAAAAAACAAAGAACCUAAAAUAAAAAAGACAUGGAAUCCUACAAUAUCGCCCAUGUAACAAAAUUUGCAAUUUAUUUAAAACAUCUUCGCCUCAUUUACCGGUUUAUCUCUGGCUGUUACAACUUGACAUUAGUGUAGCAAUAGAAACUGAUUCGUAUGGCCUUACAGAUUUCAAAUUAGGUACUAUGCACAGGAGAAAAUAGAAUUUGUAGAGACAUCUUCAAGAAAGUCAAAUAGGUUGCUUUAAUUCAGCUUGCCCAGUAUAUAAGGCGUGGUUACGAAGAAGUCAGUGUGUUAGUUUAAAAAGACAGCCUAUUAUGUUUACACGAUAUUAGUGUUUUACGAAUGCUGUACAAAUAGAAGCGUUCUGAUCCCACUGUCUGAAACUUAAAAGCACAAUUCUUCGUUUCAAUCUAAUCGUUCCAAUUUCCAUUUUGUGAACGCGGUAUUCCCCAUAAAAAUCACCUCCUCGCAUUUGUGUAAUUCUCAAUUAUCUCCGUAGGCAUCAUAACCAUUGCAGCCAAUCAAGAUGCUACAGCACGAGGAAGUUCAGUGCCGGCGAGUGCUGCCAAUGAGGAUGCAAGAAUCUCAUCAGCUGCGAUCGGAAGCUUGGCGGGUGGAGGCCUCGGCUGAAACUCACGUGAUUGGCUGCAUCCAGAGAGCAGCGCGAGAGAACCGACUUUUGUCGCGUGCUCGCUUUAUUUUUACCGAGUGAAGUCUUCACCGCUCAAAUGAAAUAAAUGUCGCAACAUUACGUUGUGACUGAUUUAUUUUCUA
Non-coding RNA from Dermacentor andersoni, 1096 nucleotides. Lineage: Eukaryota; Metazoa; Arthropoda; Arachnida; Ixodida; Ixodidae. The record is from RefSeq and is a predicted model, not a curated record.